This 353-nucleotide long non-coding RNA is filed under the name Salvia miltiorrhiza (redroot sage). RNAcentral's name for it is "long non-coding RNA (SMIL_LNC009690)". The record is from RNAcentral. Lineage: Eukaryota; Viridiplantae; Streptophyta; Magnoliopsida; Lamiales; Lamiaceae.
GUCGUUUUUGUUGCCUUUUCAAUAGGGGUCGGUUCUUCUUACAAUUAAUUUUCAAAAUUAAUGGAGUAUUUUUUUAAGAUUAAUUUUUUUUUCGAAAAUUAUGUUUUAAUAUUUAAGUUUUUUCUGUUUCCUUAUUUAUCGUUUUUUUUGUUGCGUUAUUUUUCGGUUUUUUAUUUCCUAAAAUUAUAUAAAUCAUAUAUUUCGAAGUCUAUAUGAUUUUUUAUUCCUGAUUUUUUUUAUUUAUUUGUUUCAAAAUAUUAUUAUUCAUUUGUUACCAAUAAUUUUGUGUUUCUUGUUAAAGUAAUUCUAGAUUUAUUUCUGGCAAUUAUUUUUUUGAAAUUAAUAUAUUUUUU